Trichobilharzia regenti is the source of this 46-nucleotide non-coding RNA. The record is from Rfam. NCBI's taxonomy places the organism in Eukaryota, Metazoa, Platyhelminthes, Trematoda, Strigeidida, Schistosomatidae.
AUCUCGUCUGACGAGUCCCAAUUAGGACGAAAUGCGCAUCCUGGAU